UAGUGGCGGACGGGUGAGUAACACGUGGGAAUCUGCCUUUAAGUGGGGGAUAACUGGCCGAAAGGCUAGCUAAUACCCCAUACGUCGCAAGAUAAAAGCAGCAAUGCGCUUGAAGAUGAGCCCGCGUCCGAUUAGCUAGUUGGUAGGGUAAAAGCCUACCAAGGCACCGAUCGGUAGCUGGUCUGAGAGGAUGAUCAGCCACAAUGGGACUGAGACACGGCCCAUACUCCUACGGGAGGCAGCAGUGGGGAAUUUUACACAAUGGGCGAAAGCCUGAUGUAGCGACACCGCGUGAGCGAAGAAGCCCCUUGGGGUGUAAAGCUCUGUCAGCAGGGACGAAAAAAAUGACGGUACCUGCAGAGGAAGCAUCGGCUAACUACGUGCCAGCAGCCGCGGUAAGACGUAGGAUGCAAGCGUUGUCCGGAUUUAUUGGGCGUAAAGAGUUCGUAGGCGGUUCAUUAAGUUUGGUGUAAAAGACGGGGGCUCAACCCUCGGAUCGCACUGAAUACUGGUGGACUCGAGUGGAGUAGAGGCAAGCGGAAUUCCCAGUGUAGCGGUGAAAUGCGUAGAUAUUGGGAAGAACACCGGUGGCGUAAGCGGCUUGCUGGGCUUUAAC
Molecule: ribosomal RNA, 616 nt
Filed under: uncultured bacterium
Lineage: Bacteria
Description: bacterial SSU rRNA
Rfam family: Bacterial small subunit ribosomal RNA
Source: RNAcentral